AAAACAAGAGGAAUUGAAAAACAAAAAACAAAAAGUGGAAAAUAAAAAGUUUGUUUUUUUUUAAAAAUUAGUUUUUAUUUUUUUAUUUUUUUCGUCUU
RNAcentral lists this non-coding RNA (98 nucleotides) under Hemiselmis virescens. The record is from RNAcentral. Lineage: Eukaryota; Cryptophyceae; Cryptomonadales; Hemiselmidaceae.